This 76-nucleotide transfer RNA is filed under the name Cupriavidus sp. Its description in RNAcentral is "tRNA-Ala". It matches the Rfam family "tRNA". Rfam says of the family: Transfer RNA (tRNA) molecules are approximately 80 nucleotides in length. RNAcentral also lists the same sequence under 2 other names. The record is from RNAcentral. Lineage: Bacteria; Pseudomonadati; Pseudomonadota; Betaproteobacteria; Burkholderiales; Burkholderiaceae.
GGGGCGAUAGCUCAGCUGGGAGAGCGCUGCGUUCGCAAUGCAGAGGUCGGGAGUUCGAUCCUCCUUCGCUCCACCA